GUUGAACGCUGGCGGUGCGCCUAAUACAUGCAAGUCGAACGAGACCUUUGUUGAAUUUAUUCAAUAAAGUGACAGUGGCGGACGAGCGAGUAACACGUAAGCAUCUGCCCCGUACUCAGGGAUAACCUGCCGAAAGGUGGGCUAAUACCGGAUGGUCCCGAAAGGGUAAAGAUUUAUCGGUACGGGAGGAGCUUGCGGCCUAUCAGCUUGUUGGUAAGGUAAAGGCUUACCAAGGCUAUGACGGGUAGCUGGUGUGAGAGCAUGACCAGCCGCGAUGGGACUGAGACACGGCCCAUACUCCUACGGGAGGCAGCAGUAAGGAAUCUUCCGCAAUGGGCGAAAGCCUGACGGAGCGACACCGCGUGAAGGAUGAAGCAUCUAGGUGUGUAAACUUCUUUUCUGAGGGAAGAAAAUCUGACGGUACCUCAGGAAUAAGCCCCGGCUAAUUACG
RNAcentral lists this ribosomal RNA (451 nucleotides) under uncultured bacterium. RNAcentral's name for it is "bacterial SSU rRNA". It matches the Rfam family "Bacterial small subunit ribosomal RNA", at positions 28 to 505 of the family's 1533-position model. The record is from RNAcentral.